RNAcentral lists this small RNA (5389 nucleotides) under Pongo abelii (Sumatran orangutan). Its description in RNAcentral is "retained intron". Lineage: Eukaryota; Metazoa; Chordata; Mammalia; Primates; Hominidae. The record is from RNAcentral.
GGGACCGGUGAGGGCGAGGGAAGCGUCUUGGACUGGGCCCAGCGGCGGGUGAGGGCAGAAGGUAUAGACAGACCUAACUGGGGCCCUUCGCCUCCCACCUCUGUGUCUCAUUUUGCUGGUUCUCCUCCAGCUCCGGUGUCGGCGGGUGGCGCGGCGCCCCCGGAGGGGGCCAUAUCUAACGGGGUUUACGUACUGCCGAGCGCGGCCAACGGAGACGUGAAGCCCGUGGUGUCCAGCACGCCUUUGGUGGACUUCUUGAUGCAGCUGGAAGAUUACACGCCUACGGUGGGCUUCCGCCCGAACAAGGCCACCUAGCCUGCUGUCAAAACUUUAAGCCGCAUCGUGCUUUUCAGCGUCCUCUUACAUUUGCUCCCCUAGUCGCUCUUCUGUUUUUGCCCUCUGCUCACCCAAACUGAGCGUCCUGAUAACCAGGCCUAUCCAUUUCCCUCACCCUCCUCCUGCUCUGCUGACAGUUCUCUUAAUUGAUUUCUCAGAUCCCAGAUGCAGUGACUGGUUACUACCUGAACCGUGCUGGCUUUGAGGCCUCAGACCCACGCAUAAUUCGGCUCAUCUCCCUAGCUGCCCAGAAAUUCAUCUCAGAUAUUGCCAAUGAUGCCCUACAGCACUGCAAAAUGAAGGGCACAGCCUCCGGCAGCUCCCGGAGCAAGAGCAAGGACCGCAAGUACACUCUAACCAUGGAGGACUUGACCCCUGCCCUCAGCGAGUAUGGCAUCAAUGUGAAGAAGCCGCACUACUUCACCUGAGCCACCCAACCUAAAUGUACUUGUCUGUCCCCAUGUCCCCACACCAGCCUGUUUUCAUAAUAAACUUUAUUGUGACAGGCGGGGCUGAUCCCUCCCAUGUUGGGAGACACCAUAUGGCAAGUGACAAAGCUCUGAGCCCGCCCCUCUUGGGGCCACAGUGGUAGGGAUGGGGGAAGGGGAUGGACCCCAUGGCUGGGGUAGUACCAUGACUGGAGGCGGGGGAGGCAACCAGAGGCCUGCUGCUUUGGGAAGGUGCAUUCCCCCAACCAUGUCCCGACACCUCUGGAGUUCAGGCAAGGACCUUCCAGUCCUACUUGUCCUGCAUCUUCUCCAAGAUAGGCACAAUCAUGUCAAAUUUGGGUCGCUUUGCAGGGUCUUCAUUCAUGCAGAUCUUCAUGAGCUUACACACAUGAGGGGAAAUACCUGGUGGGAUGGUAGGCCGAAGGCCUUCCAAUGCCACCUGCGAAUACAAGAAAAAAAACAGCCUCACAAUUUGAGUCUGUCAUGUAGAGAGAAGCCACUGGCCCUUGGGACAGGAUUACUGUAUAUCUGAACAAAUAUGGGAGGAGCCAAGGCCCACUACAGUUAUCUUCACCAUCACCAACCACUCCCCGAACACAAAUGUAUGCUGUUCUGCUCUCACCUUCAUUCCAAUCUCCAUAUUGGAGAGGUCAGCAAAGGGUACCUCCCGUGUCACCAGUUCCCACAGAAGCACUGCAAAACUCCACAUGUCUGCUGAGCGUCUGUUUGUGUCUUCAGGCUUCUUCUGCAGAGCUGGAGAGAUAGGGCUUGUCUGUUCUGGCCCACUGGCCUGUCCUGUCUCUGCCCCCCCUUCCACUACUUCUGAGGUGGUCCUUUUUUACCUGCCAACAUGAUGACUUCACUCACCUUCAGGGGCUACCCAGGCAGGUGCAUACAUGCGACCAGGACAUUGGAAAGAGAACUUGACAUCAGCCAUGCUAAUUCGGGCAGUCAUGUCCUCAUCAAUCUGAGGAAGAGAAAACAGAUAGAAGGAGGUAAGUCAUAGGCAAAGGGCUUUUGGGGCCUGAGCCAGGAGUGAGCUUGUGGCCUCACCAUUACACUACGGCUGUUGAGUGCAUGUCGUGGGAUGAGAGGCUCUAAUGUGUGUAGGAAGGCCAUGCCCCUUGCCAUGUCCAAGGCAAACUUCACAGCCUGGCUCUGGUCCACGACGAAAUCUGAGAGGAGGCAAGAGUCAAAUAGUUCAGAGAGGCUCAUGCACCCUCUCUGCCAUUUCAUCCCCAAGGAAAUUCAACAUCCCUACUCACUGGUGCCUUCAUGUAGUACAUUGUAGAGGGAUCCAUAUGGCAUCCAGUGUGUGAUGAGAGUAGGAUGAGGAGCAGGUGGAGACUGGCAGGCACCUAGCACUGGGAGCACAUUUGGAUGCGAGAAAAUCCUAGAAGAGGGAGGGAGUGGUUGAGACCCAGUACAAAAGAUCUCUUUCAGUGCUAUUAAGGGUUCCUUGGAACUAGUAGCUUCCAGGUUACGCCUUGCACUACCUGAGUCGGGGACACUCUUCAUUGAAGUCCCUGCUCUUCCUUGUACUCCAGUCUCGAACCUUCAGCACCUUCACAACAAUGUCAUUGCCCUGCCAGCGGCCCUUCCAUAGCUGCAGGACAGGUAGGGAUUAGGAGGCUUGAACUGUUGCUGCCACUUCCUUGCCUACUAACUGGAGGAAAAACUUAAAACAGGUACAAAGCAAGUAAUUUGUGGGGCUUUAGUGAAGGAAGGGCAAGAAGGGCAGGGGUCACCUCUCCAGAGUGAUUCUCGUUGAGCUUCGUCAGGAAGUUAAGCUGUUUGAAGUCAAUGCCAGAGUGUUUGUUCAGGGUUCCAUUUCCUAAGAGUGUGGGCAGGUCAGGUACCCAGCUUCACCCUAACCCAGCCCCAAGAGGCCAGGAUUAUUUCCUUUUACAACCCUUAUUCCCACAGUGGUGACUCACGGGGCCGAGUGCGGGUGGUCCCCUUCCAGAAUGUGUCCUUGUAUGGAAUACGGUUGAGAUUCUGGCCCAUCUUCUCUGCCCGCUCUAGGGAAGAAAAACAACCUGAACUGUGGUACAGAGGGAGAAGACAGGUGGGACGGGACAAGAGGACACAAGCUAGGGGGUGGGGAGAUGGACCUCGGAGAAGCUCUCUCAGGGGUGCCUUGGCUUUGUCCACAGGCAUCUCUCCAUACUUGUUACAGAUGCUGACAAGGGCCCCAUUUGCCACCAGGUCCUGGAAUGAAAAGGCCAUUAUGAUGAGAGCCACUGCUACCUCUCUGGCAGUCACUGAACCAACCAUGAAUGCACAAAUGUAGUACUUAAUCCGUUGAGUGUCACACAGUAGUACUGACAGAAUGGGUUGAGGGUUCCAAAUCUCCCACCAAGGCUCAGACUUUACUUCCUACCCAUCUCAGGACUUAAGGGCUGAGUACUCACCUCUGCCACUUGAUCUUGGCCCCAAAAACAGGCAUAGUGCAGGGGCACAUUCCCAUGUUCAUUCACUGCAUUGAUGUCUGCCUUGUACUGCAAUAGCUGGACCCCAUGGCCAGACAAAAAGAAGAGGCAAAAAGUACAGUCAGUCCCAAAUGAGAUACUGGUGUCAGGGCAUGGGAAAAGGGGGAAGAGUACCCAUACUUUCUACUGUAUGUUACAGUGCCUGUGACUGACCCUCAUGGCAUGUAUGUGAUGUGGAUGACGAAGGAGUUUGUACGUACCUUCUGUACAAUAUCACGGUGUCCAUGACUGGCUGCCAGAUGCAGGGGGGUGUCAUCCCCACGGUUCAUUACAUUGAUCCGUGCCCCCCGCAUGAUCAACAUCUCAACCACAGCAGAGCGGCCCUCUCGGCAGGCCCAGUGCAAGGGGGAGAAGCCAUGAUCGUCCCUUUGAGGAAGGGGCAAUGGUCAUUGAGCUGGAGGUGGGAUGGGGCAAAGGUUUUGAUUCCUGAAAAACUGACAAUUACAUACUCUCUGGGAAGGCUUACCUCUCUAGGACUUUGAUUCUCAUUCAUGCCAGCAACUCCCAAAGCUGUCCAUUUCAGACCUUCCCCUGAGCUUCAAACCAAACCAACCACCUAGAUAUCUCAACAACCUCUAUAAAAAAAUUUGUUAUCUUCACCAUAUCUCACAUCUCAUUUCCUUAGGUGGUAGUGCUCUUCCCCUGGUUUCUCUUGCACCCCUUCUGCAACAUCUAUUGGUCCUUUCUGUUUUCCACCACAUCUUAUAUAUCCCCCUACUUCAGCACUUGUUGCACUGGAUUGUAAAAAUCUGUUAAUGGACUGUCUUGUCUGUUAGACUUAAGUUUCUUGAGGGAAUGGAUUGACAGCAGCUGUUCAGUGCAUGUUAGUCGGGGAGAAGGGUGUCUUGGAGAAGGCAGGCCACAACUUAUAGAAGAGGGAACAAACUUACUAUUUGGCUCUGGUACUGAAACUAACAUCUAAAAAUGGAAUGGAAUUUAAAUGAUGUUUUGGAAGGGUUUAUGUUGAAAAGGAGAAAUGCUUUUGACUACUGAUGAGGGAGAUAACAAACCACCAUGCAAAGCAGGAUUCCCCUACUUAGCAAUCCUGUGCACAGAAAACAGAAGAAAAUGACAAUGGCUGUUUUGGGAUUAAAACUAUACCUGAUUUUUUUCUUUUCCAAGAAAUAUGUAUUUUAUAAAGUAAAAUAAGUAUACAAACAAAACAAAACUAUUGGUUUGGAGCUGGGCCUGCCUGACAGCCUGGGGCCAUAAAAGGAAAUUCCCUCUAGUUCGGGGCUGCAGAUUCAAGGGGCGGAGCAGGGGGCGGUCCGUGGUCUGGGCCAGCAGCCUCCGGAUGCCUUAGUGUUGUGGUCACUUCCUGUGUGUGACUCUAUGCAAGGCCUGGAGCUGAUCAGGGGUCUGGCCAUCCAGAUGCCCCUACAGCUCAAGGGGUUGGGGGGUGUGGCCCUUAACUUAAUCAUUUUCCUCCACAACUUGCUCGCAUCUGCUAACACAGAAAUAGCCAAAAGCUUUUCCUUGAGGUGGGAUAUCCCCAGGAAGCAUUACGCCCCCUGUUUAUCAGUUGGUCUUGCCUCCAAACCUUCAAUUUGUGCCCAGACUUAUCAGCUUCCAGUACUGCCUGUGGUGCCAGGGCAGGCCAAACUCAGGGGGCAAAAGUAUGGGCACAAGGGUUCUGUUCACUAUCAGGCUGCCUGCCACCUCAGGGCCUGGACUUCUAUCUCAAGGAGACCUGCAAGGAAUUAACCCCCUCUUCAUAUCCAGCAUAUAGCCAACUUAGGCCCCCAUACUUUACCCCUCAAACCAGCACCACAACCUUCCAGUUUCAUUAAUUCCACCCCUUUUCCUUCUGGCAGCAUCUUCCUAGAGUCUUCCUAGACUCAGCUAGAGUCUUCCUAGAUGCUAGGCCCACUGGGCAACUGCCUAAGCCUGUAUUUCCUCACCAACAAAAUAGUAACAGUGCUUACUGUCUUUAUCAGGGUACCCUUUGAGAAUUAUAUGAAAAAUGGAACAAAUGACUUUGCAGAGUAUUAAAGAGAAAUAGUGUGGAACCUAAUGGGAACCACUGAAGUCUAGACUAAGAUGACAGGUGAUCCUGACCUGUCAAACCUAAAAACUAAACUCCACUAAUUUUAAAAAAGAAUUUGAAUUUGC